Molecule: unclassified non-coding RNA, 313 nt
Filed under: Hevea brasiliensis (rubber tree)
Lineage: Eukaryota; Viridiplantae; Streptophyta; Magnoliopsida; Malpighiales; Euphorbiaceae
Source: RNAcentral
ACCAUGUACAGAUCCUAAUGAAACACAAGUAACCUGCAGAGUCUCAAUUUUCUGUAUAGCAUUGAUUACAUUGUUUUAUAGAAAUUUAGUGGUGGGCUAACUACUUAGAAAAGAAGAUUCGGGAGAGGAUCAAUGUCAUGCUGACCAGAAAGAACAGGCUAAGAUAACAACUUCAACUGCAAAAUUUUUGCUCGAGAGGGUGCCAAGGAGGAGAGAAUAGAUGCCCAUGUAUUGGGUGGUAAAUCGCUCCGAAAGUCCUCUAACUGUUCAAUUAUUCUGUUGACAGUUCCCUUUGAGGCCAAAUUUUGACCAG